This 659-nucleotide ribosomal RNA is filed under the name uncultured bacterium. RNAcentral describes it as "bacterial SSU rRNA". It matches the Rfam family "Bacterial small subunit ribosomal RNA", at positions 139 to 813 of the family's 1533-position model. The record is from RNAcentral.
GGGGAUAACACCUGGAAACAGGUGCUAAUACCGCAUAAGCGCACAGGGCCGCAUGGCCCGGUGUGAAAAACUCCGGUGGUGUAAGAUGGACCCGCGUCUGAUUAGCUUGUUGGCGGGGUAGGGGCCCACCAAGGCGACGAUCAGUAGCCGGCCUGAGAGGGUGGACGGCCACAUUGGGACUGAGACACGGCCCAAACUCCUACGGGAGGCAGCAGUGGGGGAUAUUGGACAAUGGGGGAAACCCUGAUCCAGCGACGCCGCGUGAGUGAAGAAGUAUUUCGGUAUGUAAAGCUCUGUCAGCAGGGAAGAAAGAAAUGACGGUACCUGACCAAGAAGCCCCGGCUAACUACGUGCCAGCAGCCGCGGUAAUACGUAGGGGGCAAGCGUUAUCCGGAAUUACUGGGUGUAAAGGGAGCGUAGACGGUGAUGCAAGUCUGGAGUGAAAGGCGGGGGCCCAACCCCCGGACUGCUCUGGAAACUGUGUAACUUGAGUGCAGGAGAGGUAAGCGGAAUUCCUAGUGUAGCGGUGAAAUGCGUAGAUAUUAGGAGGAACACCAGUGGCGAAGGCGGCUUACUGGACUGUAACUGACGUUGAGGCUCGAAAGCGUGGGGAGCAAACAGGAUUAGAUACCCUGGUAGUCCACGCCGUAAACGAUGAA